UAGGGAAUUGUUCGCAAUGGGCGCAAGCCUGACGACGCAACGCCGCGUGGAGGAUGAAGACCUUCGGGUCGUAAACUCCUUUCGACCGAGAUGAACAUUCCACUGCCUAAUAUGCGGUGGAACUGACAGUAUCGAGGGAAGCAGCCCCGGCUAACUCCGUGCCAGCAGCCGCGGUAAUACGGGGGGGGCAAGCGUUGUUCGGAAUUACUGGGCGUAAAGGGUUCGUAGGUGGCCGACUAAGUCAGACGUGAAAUCCCUCAGCUUAACUGGGGAACUGCGUCUGAGACUGGCCGGCUCGAGUGCAGGAGAGGAACGCGGAAUUCCAGGUGUAGCGGUGAAAUGCGUAGAUAUCUGGAGGAACACCGGUGGCGAAGGCGGCGUUCUGGACUGUUUCUGACACUGAUGAACGAAAGCCAGGGGAGCAAACGGGAUUAGAUACCCCCGUAGUCC
This 450-nucleotide ribosomal RNA is filed under the name uncultured bacterium. RNAcentral's name for it is "bacterial SSU rRNA". It matches the Rfam family "Bacterial small subunit ribosomal RNA", at positions 355 to 796 of the family's 1533-position model. The record is from RNAcentral.